CCUACGGGCGGCAGCAGUGAGGAAUAUUGGUCAAUGGCCGAGAGGCUGAACCAGCCAAGUCGCGUGAGGGAAGACGGCCCUACGGGUUGUAAACCUCUUUUGUCGGGGAGUAAAGCGAGUCACGUGUGACUCAUUGAGAGUACUCGAAGAAAAAGCAUCGGCUAACUCCGUGCCAGCAGCCGCGGUAAUACGGAGGAUGCGAGCGUUAUCCGGAUUUAUUGGGUUUAAAGGGUGCGCAGGUGGGUGGUCAAGUCAGCGGUCAAAGUUCGGGGCUCAACCCUAAAAUGGCAAUUGAUACUGGCAGUAUUGAGUGCAGUGGAGGUAGGCGGAAUGCGUGGUGUAGCGGGGAAAUGCUUAGAUAUCACGAAGAACCCCGAUUGCGAAGGCAGCUUACGAAACUGUGACUGACAUUGAUGCUCGAAAGCGUGGGUAUCAAACAGGAUUAGAUACCCGGGUAGUC
RNAcentral lists this ribosomal RNA (460 nucleotides) under uncultured bacterium. Its description in RNAcentral is "partial 16S ribosomal RNA". It matches the Rfam family "Bacterial small subunit ribosomal RNA", at positions 338 to 795 of the family's 1533-position model. The record is from RNAcentral.